CCCUUAGAUGUCCUGGGCCGCACGCGCGUUACACUGAAGGAGGCAGCGUGUACUCCUGGAUCGAAAGAUUUGGGUAACCCGCGAAUCUCCUUCGUGCUAGGGAUUGAGGUUUGCAAUUAUCCUUCAUGAACGAGGAAUUCCCAGUAAGUGCAAGUCAUAAGCUUGCGCUGACUACGUCCCUGCCCUUUGUACACACCGCCCGUCGCUACUACCGAUUGAAUGAUUUAGUGAGGACUUCGGACUGGGACCGAUGCGGCUUUCGGGCUGCGUCGGUAUUCUGGAAAGAUGUCCAAACUGUNUNAUUUAGNGGAAGUAAAANUCGUANCA
Molecule: ribosomal RNA, 327 nt
Filed under: uncultured eukaryote
Lineage: Eukaryota
Description: partial 18S ribosomal RNA
Rfam family: Eukaryotic small subunit ribosomal RNA
Source: RNAcentral